Molecule: unclassified non-coding RNA, 377 nt
Filed under: plant metagenome
Description: partial contains 5.8S ribosomal RNA, internal transcribed spacer 2, and large subunit ribosomal RNA
Rfam family: 5.8S ribosomal RNA (bases 1-104)
Source: RNAcentral
GAAAUGCGAUAAGUAUGUGAAUUGCAGAAUUCAGUGAAUCAUCGAAUCUUUGAACGCACCUUGCGCUCCUUGGUAUUCCUUGGAGCAUGCCUGUUUGAGUAUCAUGAAAUCUUCAAAGUAAAUCUUUUGUUAACUCAAUUGGUUUCUACUUUGGUAUUGGAGGUCUUUGCAGCUUCACACCUGCUCCUCUUUGUUCAUUAGCUGGAUCUCAGUGUUAUGCUUGGUUCCACUCGGCGUGAUAAGUUAUCUAUCGCUGAGGACACUGUAAAAGGUGGCCAAGGUAAAUGCAGAUGAACCGCUUCUAAUAGUCCAUUGACUUGGACAAUACUUUUAUGAUCUGAUCUCAAAUCAGGUAGGACUACCCGCUGAACUUAAGC